CCCUUAGAUGUCCUGGGCCGCACGCGUGCUACACUGACGCAUACAGCGAGCACUUUCCAGUUCCGAGAGGCUACUGGUAAUCAUCAAUAUGCGUCGUGAUGGGGAUAGAUCUUUGGAAUUCUGGAUCUUGAACGAGGAAUGCCUAGUAAUCGCAGGUCAUUAGCCUGCGAUGAUUAAGUCCCUGCCCUUUGUACACACCGCCCGUCGCUACUACCGAUUUCGAGUGGUCAGGCGAAUCUUUCGGACUGUGGGCGCCCUUGAGGUGUUCGCGGAAAGUCAGGUAAAUCUUAUCACUUAGAGGAAGUAAAAGUCGUAACA
Molecule: ribosomal RNA, 318 nt
Filed under: uncultured eukaryote
Lineage: Eukaryota
Description: partial 18S ribosomal RNA
Rfam family: Eukaryotic small subunit ribosomal RNA
Source: RNAcentral